This 198-nucleotide ribosomal RNA is filed under the name uncultured bacterium. RNAcentral describes it as "partial 16S ribosomal RNA". It matches the Rfam family "Bacterial small subunit ribosomal RNA", at positions 328 to 540 of the family's 1533-position model. The record is from RNAcentral.
ACGCUCGACACCUACGGGAGCAGCAGUGGGGAAUAUUGCACAAUGGGGGAAACCCUGAUGCAGCGACGCCGCGUGGAGGAAGAAGGUCUUCGGAUUGUAAACUCCUGUUGUUGGGGAAAAAGAGGAUGGUACCCAACAAGGAAGUGACGGCUAACUACGUGACAGCAGCCGCGGUAAUCUGAGCGGGCUGGCGAAGGC